GGUAGGGUGGUGUUGUUACACCUACACUCCCUGCUUUUACAUUCACAUUCAAUCAGCCCAACUAUCGUCAGCCUAGUCACUGAUAACCUCCACUUAGAUGGAGAUAAAAGGACCAGACGUUGUGUGCGUGCAUUACGGUGUCUGUAACCACACCCCUUCUCCUGUUGAGGUGCUUUCCUGAUUUGCCGGCCCUGUAUUCCUAGCCUUCCCUCUGACGCUCGCCUUCGGUAUGUCCUUGUCCCUGCAUGUUCAGUGAGGAACCGUACUUCGCCGCUGACCUCGUCGUUCCUGUGAUAACCGUCUGAUAACUGCCUGAUCACAAAGGUGCUGCUGUUUUGUUUAAGCCUGACAAUGCGUGUGUGAUUCAGCAUGCUCGUGACUCUGCCA
Molecule: long non-coding RNA, 387 nt
Organism: Clupea harengus (Atlantic herring)
Lineage: Eukaryota; Metazoa; Chordata; Actinopteri; Clupeiformes; Clupeidae
Exons: 3
Source: RefSeq, a predicted model, not a curated record